GCCACGCCGUCGCGUUCGACGCCGCGUAGUGGACCAGCGCCUCGGCGACGUCCGCCGGGACCCCCUGAUCACACUCCUCCCGCGCCGGCUGAUGACGAUGCUGCUGCUGCUGUGCGCCGUGGACGACGACGGGAGCCGAGGCAGCGGCGGAGAGCGUGCGGAGGAUGAGGAGGAGGAGGAAGGCGGAGGCGGAGGCAGCGGAGAGGAGGAGGAGGCGGCGAGGGGUGAGGUGGUGCUUGAGCUUGGCCUUGGCGGAGACGAGGUGGCUCCUGAGCUUCGCCCUGCGCGCGUGCAUGGGGCUCGCCAUUGCACCUCCUCCUCUAUGCGCUCUCCUUCCUGC
This 340-nucleotide long non-coding RNA is filed under the name Oryza brachyantha (malo sina). RNAcentral describes it as "long non-coding RNA (OBRA_LNC002798)". The record is from RNAcentral. Lineage: Eukaryota; Viridiplantae; Streptophyta; Magnoliopsida; Poales; Poaceae.